Molecule: ribosomal RNA, 509 nt
Filed under: uncultured bacterium
Lineage: Bacteria
Description: bacterial SSU rRNA
Rfam family: Bacterial small subunit ribosomal RNA
Source: RNAcentral
AGAGUUUGAUCAUGGCUCAGGACGAACGCUUGCGGCGUGCCUAAGAAAUGCAAGUCGAGCGAGGUUAGAGAGCUUGCUCUCGAAACCUAGCGGCGAACGGUCGCGUAACACGUAAGCAACCUGCCCCUAAGACCGGGAUAGCCCGCUGAAAAGUGGAUUAAUACCGGAUGUGGACACAUUGAGACAUCUCUGAUGUGUCUAAACCAGGCAACUGGCUUAGGGAUGGGCUUGCGGCCUAUCAGCUAGUUGGUGAGGUAACGGCCCACCAAGGCGACGACGGGUAGCUGGUCUGAGAGGAUGGUCAGCCGGACUGGGACUGAGAUACGGCCCAGACUCCUACGGGGGGCAGCAAUUAGGAAUCUUGCGCAAUGGGGGAAACCCUGACGCAGCGACGCCGCGUGAAGGAUGAAGGCCUUCGGGUCGUAAACUUCUUUUAAGAGGGAAGAAGAAAGUGACGGUACCUCUUGAAUAAGCCCCGGCUAACUACGUGCCAGCCGCCGCGGUAAUUC